GACGAACGCUGGCGGCGUGCCUAAUACAUGCAAGUCGAGCGGACAGGCGAGGCGCUUGCUCCUCUGACGUUAGGGGCGGACGGGUGAGUAACGCGUGGAUAACCUACCUAUAAGACGGGGAUAACUUCGGGAACCGGGGUUAAAUCCGGCAUAAACUUUUAACCCCCUGGUUCGAUAGUGAAAGUCGGGUUUGCCGGCACUGACAGAUGGAUUCGCGGCGUUUUGGCUAGUUGGUAGGGUAACGGCUUACCAAGGCAACGAUGCGUAGCCGACCUGAGAGGGGGAUCGGCCACACGGGAACGGAGACACGGACAAGACUCCUACGGGAGGCAGCAGAAGGGAAUCUUCCGCAAUGGGGGAAAGCCUGACGGAGCAACGCCGCGUGAGUGAUGAAGGUCUUCGGAUCGUAAAACUCGGUUAUUAGGGAAAAACAGAUGUGGAAGUAAACGUGCACGUCUUGACGGUACCUAAUCAGAAAGCCACGGCUAACUACGUG
Molecule: ribosomal RNA, 496 nt
Filed under: uncultured bacterium
Lineage: Bacteria
Description: partial 16S ribosomal RNA
Rfam family: Bacterial small subunit ribosomal RNA
Source: RNAcentral